Molecule: long non-coding RNA, 1581 nt
Organism: Lycium ferocissimum
Lineage: Eukaryota; Viridiplantae; Streptophyta; Magnoliopsida; Solanales; Solanaceae
Exons: 6
Source: RefSeq, a predicted model, not a curated record
UUUAUACACAAUUAUACAAUAUUGUAUAAGUAGGUAUAGAACAUAGAUCUAAACUGAUUACAUUGUGUAUAUGAGUGUAUAAACAUGUAUAAUAGUGUAUAAGAGGUGUGUAUACACCCAUAUACGAUAUUAUACACGAACUACCCCUGCACCUACAGGUUUCUCCACCUCCGGCGACAUCACCACCAUCGGCGCAGCCCGAGAUUUCUCGUCGGAACUCAUCAUCGGGGUUCCGUCGUACAACAACCACAACGCCGCCGCCGCUGCUCCAUCUCCGGCCAAACAACUUGGACCAAACCCAACGCCAGCAGUGGUUCUCGUUCACCGUCAAUGGUUGUUUCCCAGUGACGUAGUGGUGGUCGGAGGUUGAGAGAGAGAGAGAGAGAGAGAGAGAGAGAGCGAGAGUGGAUUAUUUUUUGUAAGAUUUCAAAAUAUGAGUCAAUUUUGGUAGCAUUGUUACCCUAAUUAACAUAGGGUGUAAUUUUCUCUAGAAUUUAAAUCCUCACUUUUCAAUGAUGUAGAUAUUUCUGAUUGUGGUGCUAAGCAAGUGACGUUAACUAGAGCUUCAAUAUGGUGACAUCCAAAUUUACUAGAAAAUAUUGUAGAUUGUGUCUCUUAUAAUUUACUCAAAUAAGAAAAUUCAGUAAACUGUCCUAAACUUGGAUAGAAGUUCUAUUUCUUUUCCUGUCAAAAGCUGUGGAAUCAGAACAACAAGUGGAGGUGUUCCAAUGUCUCUAAAUUCCCGAAUCAGUGUAGUUGCAAAACAGCACCUAAUGGUUGUACUAUAGUCUAUAGACGAGGCACUUAAUAGCAAAAAGGAAGCAGCAUCCUUGCUUUUAAUUGUAUCAUCCAACUUAUAAGUCCAUCUAAAAGGUGUGGGCGGGAGAGAGAAGCAAUUAGAUGGUUAUUUAAAGUAGCUGUGACUUGAGCUGAAGAGAUCUCGUUUUCUUGAUAGGAGAGAAUGGAAGCAAGUAAUGUGUUUGCAUCGCAAGAAGCUGAAGAACUAACUAGAGGCAUCUGCAAAGACUUUUGUACCUGCUGAUGUUCCAGCACCUCUUGAGGUGCCAAACGAAGAUCAAACACCUAAACCAGUUGGUCUUACACGAGAGCAAAUUAUAGCAAUUAAGGCUGCCAUUGUGAAUUCCCAAACUCUCGAGAAGGUGGCCAGACUUGAACAGGCUUUGAAGUCAGGCCAGCUUCCUGCAGAUGUCAAUAUUGGUGAUUAUGAUGUUUCUGCUAAAAAGGAAGAUGCCACAGAAGAUAAGAUGGAGUAGACAACUGGGGUUAUUCAGUAUGCGCGUUGGUUUGAGAUGGAUCAUUCAUAUGCCCUCGCUGUCCAGUCAUAGACAGGAUGAAAUUCUGUGGAGGAGGUUUAUCUUUUGGAAACAGAAUUAAUUAAUGAUGUCAUUUGAUUUGAACUCUAAAGUUGAGUUUCAGUCUCUUCCAACCCGAAAUGAGGACUUCAAAUUACAAAUACAAGGGGAGUUCUCUGUAGUAUUUCAAGCAUCUCACUUUCCUGGUGGUUAUGGGGGUGUUAAAUUUCUGUUCUUUGCUGUUUAGGAUACCUGAAAUCUUCAAAUC